UACGUAGGGUGCUAACGUUGUUCGGAAUCACUGGGCAUAAAGAGCGCGUAGGCGGUCUGAUAAGUCAGGUGUGAAAUCCCCCGGCUCAACCGGGGAACUGCACCUGAUACUGUUGGGCUUGAGUGCAGGAGGGGAGAGCGGAAUUCCUGGUGGAGCGAUGAAAUGCGUAGAUAUCGGGAGGAACACCAGUGGCGAAGGCGGGUCUCUGGGCCGAUACUGACGCUGAGGAGCGAAAGCGUGGGGAGCGAACAGG
RNAcentral lists this ribosomal RNA (253 nucleotides) under uncultured bacterium. Its description in RNAcentral is "partial 16S ribosomal RNA". It matches the Rfam family "Bacterial small subunit ribosomal RNA", at positions 524 to 776 of the family's 1533-position model. The record is from RNAcentral.